RNAcentral lists this ribosomal RNA (487 nucleotides) under Megalobrachium poeyi. Its description in RNAcentral is "SSU rRNA". It matches the Rfam family "Eukaryotic small subunit ribosomal RNA", at positions 852 to 1336 of the family's 1831-position model. The record is from RNAcentral. Lineage: Eukaryota; Metazoa; Arthropoda; Malacostraca; Decapoda; Porcellanidae.
UUGUUGGUUUGUCACAGCCAAGGUAAUGACUAAGGGAGACAGUCGGGGGCAUCUGUACUGCAGCGCUAGAGGUGAAAUUCUUGGACCGUUGCAAGACAAACAACAGCGAAAGCAUUUGCCAAGUAUGUUUUCAUUAAUCAAGAACGAAAGUUAGAGGUUYGAAGGCGAUCAGAUACCGCCCUAGUUCUAACCAUAAACGAUGCCAACCAGCAAUCUAUCAAGUGUUAUAUCCAUGACCUGAUAGGCAGCUUCUGGGAAACCAAAGUCUUUGGGUUCCGGGGGAAGUAUGGUUGCAAAGCUGAAACUUAAAGGAAUUGACGGAAGGGCACCACCAGGAGUGGAGCCUGCGGCUUAAUUUGRCUCAACACGGGGAACCUCACCAGGCCCAGACACUGGAAGGAUUGACAGAAUGAGAGCUCUUUCUCGAUUCGGUGGGUGGUGGUGCAUGGCCGUUCUUAGUUGGUGGAGUGAUUUGUCUGGUUAAUUC